UUUUGUACAGUGAUGAUGACAAAGACGGACUGGCGGUCAUUAUUUAUGAUGGGAAGAGAGGUCUGGUCCCCAAUUUCCUUCUUGAACCGAUGGGCAUCAAAAACAAGGGAAAAAACAAGCGAAUCGAACUCGCCAAUGGCAUCC
This is a long non-coding RNA of Puntigrus tetrazona (Sumatra barb), 144 nucleotides long. RefSeq lists it as uncharacterized. The transcript is spliced from 3 exons. NCBI's taxonomy places the organism in Eukaryota, Metazoa, Chordata, Actinopteri, Cypriniformes, Cyprinidae. The record is from RefSeq and is a predicted model, not a curated record.